GUGACGGGGUGGGGUCAGGUCUCUCCGGAGGGGGCGUGUCUAGGACUUGCAGGAGCGGCCCCUGUCGCUGGAGACUGACUGCGGACCUGGGGGAUUUGGUGCCCCACAGUAUGAAGAAUCUUCCUUCUCCAAUCAGGGAAGAAACCUGUACCCCCUGGAGUGGAAGCAUGGAGUCUUAACCACUGGAUCACCAGGGAAGUCCCCACCAGCACAUUUAAUAUCUUCCAGGAAGAGUCUCCGGAGAAGGCAAGAGUGCUGGAGUGGGGUGCGUAUAAAAUACAUAUAAAAUAAGACAAAAUAAAUGACCAAAGAGAGAUACAGGCCAGAUAAAUAUGUUGGUAUUUCAAAGGAGUGAUUUCUUUACUUCAGCUCAAUACCAUCCUUUGCAAGGGUUCUGCAGGAACCCUUUGGUGCAAGCAUUUGUUUAUUUGAGAAACAGAGCCACCUAAGUGCCAGGGACUGGAGAUACAAAGACGGGGAUCCCAUUGAGAAGGGGGUCUGUCUCUCCCACGGUCAUUGGAGAGACAGAAUUAAAUAGAUGGAUAAAUUACAGUCUAGUGUGGUGAACCAAACAAUAAAAGAAAAAAAAAAGAUGAAACACCAUGGAAAUGC
Molecule: long non-coding RNA, 612 nt
Organism: Bos taurus (domestic cattle)
Lineage: Eukaryota; Metazoa; Chordata; Mammalia; Artiodactyla; Bovidae
Source: Ensembl